This 491-nucleotide ribosomal RNA is filed under the name uncultured bacterium. Its description in RNAcentral is "partial 16S ribosomal RNA". It matches the Rfam family "Bacterial small subunit ribosomal RNA", at positions 29 to 506 of the family's 1533-position model. The record is from RNAcentral.
AGUGAACGCUGGCGGUAGGCCUAACACAUGCAAGUCGAACGGCAGCACAGUAAGAGCUUGCUCUUACGGGUGGCGAGUGGCGGACGGGUGAGGAAUACAUCGGAAUCUACUUUUUCGUGGGGGAUAACGUAGGGAAACUUACGCUAAUACCGCAUACGACCUACGGGUGAAAGCAGGGGAUCUUCGGACCUUGCGCGAUUGAAUGAGCCGAUGUCGGAUUAGCUAGUUGGCGGGGUAAAGGCCCACCAAGGCGACGAUCCGUAGCUGGUCUGAGAGGAUGAUCAGCCACACGGAAACUGAGACACGUACCAGAACCCAACGGGGGGCAGCAGUGGGAAAUAUUGGACAAUGGGCGCAAGCCUGAUCCAGCCAUACCGCGUGGGUGAAGAAGGCCUUCGGGUUGUAAAGCCCUUUUGUUGGGAAAAAAAAGCAGCAGGUUAAUACCCCGCUGUUCUGACGGUACCCAAAGAAUAAGCACCGGCUAACUUCGU